GACGAACGCUGGCGGCGUGCUUAACACAUGCAAGUCGAACGGAAAGGCCCUGCUUUUGUGGGGUGCUCGAGUGGCGAACGGGUGAGUAACACGUGAGUAACCUGCCCUUGACUUUGGGAUAACUUCAGGAAACUGGGGCUAAUACCGGAUAGGAGCUCCUGCUGCAUGGUGGGGGUUGGAACGUUUCGGCGGGUGGGGAUGGACUCGCGGCUUAUCAGCUUGUUGGUGGGGUAGUGGCUUACCAAGGCUUUGACGGGUAGCCGGCCUGAGAGGGUGACCGGCCACAUUAGGACUGAGAUACGGCCCAGACUCCUACGGGAGGCAGCAGUGGGGAAUAUUGCACAAUGGGCGGAAGCCUGAUGCAGCAACGCCGCGUGCGGGAUGACGGCCUUCGGGUUGUAAACCGCAUUCGCCUGUGACGAAGCGUGAGUGACGGUAAUGGGUAAAGAAGCACCGGCUAACUACGUG
This 468-nucleotide ribosomal RNA is filed under the name uncultured bacterium. RNAcentral describes it as "partial 16S ribosomal RNA". It matches the Rfam family "Bacterial small subunit ribosomal RNA", at positions 28 to 507 of the family's 1533-position model. The record is from RNAcentral.